RNAcentral lists this transfer-messenger RNA (327 nucleotides) under Dechloromonas sp. It matches the Rfam family "Betaproteobacteria transfer-messenger RNA". From Rfam's summary of the family: Bacterial tmRNA, also known as 10Sa RNA or SsrA, is named for its dual tRNA and mRNA-like properties. Its role is to liberate the mRNA from a stalled ribosome. The record is from RNAcentral. Lineage: Bacteria; Pseudomonadati; Pseudomonadota; Betaproteobacteria; Rhodocyclales; Azonexaceae.
GCGCGCCGGGUAAAUUGAAAGGCGUCAUCCGCUGCUGUAUCAUUAAAACAUAGUUGUAAUUCCGGCAAUCUCGAGGCGUUCUGGACAGGGGUUCAACUCCCCUCAUCUCCACCUAAGCGUAGCGGAAUACGUUUAGGUGGGGAUGUACCGGUUUCGACAGGGCGGGCAAAGGUGCGCAGGCAACUCGUCAGGCGAUCGACGUUAAUGAAGCAAAUCCAUAAAUGCCAAUGAUGAGCAUUUUGCUAUUGCCGCCUAACAACGGCUAGCCGGGGCUGCUAGAGCCUUGUUACCAAAGAUAGCCGGUGGGGACUUCGGUCCCCAUCGUCA